UACGUAGGGGGCAAGCGUUGUCCGGAUUUAUUGGGCGUAAAGAGCGUGUAGGCGGCUUCACAGGUCCGUUGUGAAAACUCGAGGCUCAACCUCGAGACGCCGGUGGAAACCGUAAAGCUAGAGUCCGGAAGAGGAGAGUGGAAUUCCUGGUGUAGCGGUGAAAUGCGCAGAUAUCAGGAAGAACACCCGUGGCGAAGGCGGCUCUCUGGGACGGUACUGACGCUGAGACGCGAAAGCGUGGGGAGCGAACAGG
Molecule: ribosomal RNA, 253 nt
Filed under: uncultured bacterium
Lineage: Bacteria
Description: partial 16S ribosomal RNA
Rfam family: Bacterial small subunit ribosomal RNA
Source: RNAcentral